CCUACGGGAGGCAGCAGUGGGGAAUAUUGGACAAUGGGCGAAAGCCUGAUCCAGCAAUGCCGCGUGAGUGAUGAAGGCCUUAGGGUUGUAAAGCUCUUUUACCAGGGAUGAUAAUGACAGUACCUGGAGAAUAAGCUCCGGCUAACUCCGUGCCAGCAGCCGCGGUAAUACGGAGGGAGCUAGCGUUGUUCGGAAUUACUGGGCGUAAAGCGUACGUAGGCGGUUAUUCAAGUCAGAGGUGAAAGCCUGGAGCUCAACUCCAGAACUGCCUUUGAAACUAGAUAGCUAGAAUCUUGGAGAGGUGAGUGGAAUUCCGAGUGUAGAGGUGAAAUUCGUAGAUAUUCGGAAGAACACCAGUGGCGAAGGCGACUCACUGGACAAGUAUUGACGCUGAGGUACGAAAGCGUGGGGAGCAAACAGGAUUAGAUACCCUGGUAGUCCACGCCGUAAACGAUGAUAACUAGCUGUUCGGGCUCUACGAGCUUGAGUGGCGCNGCUACGACAUUAAGUUAGUCCGUCCGUCGGGAGGUACGGUCGCGAGAAGUUAAACGUACUAAUUAGAAGUUAGUUACGGCGUGAGACGUUGCGACGGACGACGACGAGGGAGGAGG
Molecule: ribosomal RNA, 611 nt
Filed under: uncultured bacterium
Lineage: Bacteria
Description: bacterial SSU rRNA
Rfam family: Bacterial small subunit ribosomal RNA (bases 1-519)
Source: RNAcentral